GACGAACCCGAGCGAACGUUGUUCGGAAUCACUGGGCUUAAAGGGCGCGUAGGCGGGCUAUCAAGUCCGGGGUGAAAUCCUCCAGCUCAACUGGAGAACGGCCUCGGAUACUGAUGGCCUCGAGGGAGAUAGGGGCACGCGGAACUGUGGGUGGAGCGGUGAAAUGCGUUGAUAUCAUUAGGAACACCUGUGGCGAAAGCAGCUUACUGGGUCUUAUCUGACGCUGAGGCACGAAAGCUAGGGGAGCGAAC
Molecule: ribosomal RNA, 251 nt
Filed under: uncultured bacterium
Lineage: Bacteria
Description: partial 16S ribosomal RNA
Rfam family: Bacterial small subunit ribosomal RNA
Source: RNAcentral